CGGCGGACGGGUGAGUAAUAGUUAUGAAUCCCCGCGGCUGUGGGGGAUAAUAUUCGGAAACGGAUGUUAAUACCGGAUACCCCCAAACGGGGAAAGCGGGGGAUCUUCGGACCUUUCGCUAUUGGAUGAGCCUACGUCGGAUUAGCUUGUUGGGGGGGUAAAAGCCUACCGAGGCGACGAUCGGGAGCUGGUCUGAAAGGACGAUCAGCCACCCUGGGACUGAGACACGGCCCAGACUCCUACGGGAGGCAGCAGUAGGGAAUAUUGGACAAUGGGCGAAAGCCGGAUCCACGACUGCCGCGUGUGUGAAGAAGGCCUGCGGGUUGUAAAGCACUUUCGGAAGAAAAGAAAAGCUCACGGUUAAUAACCGCGAGUCUUGACGUAACCUACAGAAGAAGCACCGGCUAACUCCGUGCCUGCAGCCGCGGUAAUACCGAGGGUGCGAGCGUUAAU
Molecule: ribosomal RNA, 453 nt
Filed under: uncultured bacterium
Lineage: Bacteria
Description: bacterial SSU rRNA
Rfam family: Bacterial small subunit ribosomal RNA
Source: RNAcentral